Long non-coding RNA from Triticum aestivum (bread wheat), 480 nucleotides. RefSeq lists it as uncharacterized. The transcript has 3 exons. Lineage: Eukaryota; Viridiplantae; Streptophyta; Magnoliopsida; Poales; Poaceae. The record is from RefSeq and is a predicted model, not a curated record.
UUUGAAACAGAGAACUGCACAUUAUGACUAUCAAAAAAAUUAGUGGACAUGAAAGCAGUAUAAAUACUUGCACCGAACUGUAUGAUUUGUUGAGCCAAGUGUCGAGUCUGAUAUGGCAUCUUUAUGCUUUCAGAGAAGCGCAUCUCUGAAAUUCACAGUUUUGAACCAAAAGAGACACAUCUAGAAAAUGAUUACAUGAGUGGUUCCAGUGUCAUGUACGUCAACAUGGUUGGAGAUUUGGGAUCGGAUGCUGCGCCAAGAGCGAGGGACCAAGGUGCUGAACUAACAGCAGGGGGAGGGUGAUUCUUCAGGGAGCUGCACAAAUUUGGAACAACUUCCAGAACAGGCAUCCAAGCAUUUUGGUCUGCUACCAGUAAGCUGCCAGAGCAAGAUAGCUGGGAGUCUGGGAUGUCGAGUCGUCGAGCCGGCCAAUGCCAAGUUCGCCGGCGGAAGGAGAACAUCUGUCAAGCCGUCCGUCGC